CCCUAGCAAGGGAAGGAGCACUGACAAGUCACACAAGCUCCACUGUGACACGUGUCAGGUUGGCCACACCCUGUGUUCAGAACCAGUCACAUGGCCACUCCUCAUUUCAAGGGAGCAAGGAGAUGCAACCUUACCAUGUGCCUGGAGGGGAGAGAAGGGAGAUGCCGGCAGGUUCACUGAUGACCACCAAAGAAGUAACCUAAUACCCUGCCUAAUUUGGUGGAAUCAAAUGACUGACUUGCUACCAUCCAAGUAAAACCGCCCACAUGAAAUGUCAAGAAACCUAUGAAGAGGAUUUCUCUCCAGUUUGCUAAAUUAGAAAAUGUAUGCAAAUUAAUUCGAUGAGGCCUGUUAACCACUCUUUCUAAUUCAGUCUCAACAAGAAUCCUCCUUUUAAUAGUAAACAUUGAAUGUUACAAUCA
This is a long non-coding RNA of Prionailurus viverrinus (fishing cat), 422 nucleotides long. RefSeq lists it as uncharacterized. The transcript is spliced from 2 exons. NCBI's taxonomy places the organism in Eukaryota, Metazoa, Chordata, Mammalia, Carnivora, Felidae. The record is from RefSeq and is a predicted model, not a curated record.